GAUGAACGCUGGCGGCGUGCCUAAUACAUGCAAGUCGAGCGAACAGACGAGGAGCUUGCUCCUUCGACGUUAGCGGCGGACGGGUGAGUAACACGUAGGUAACCUACCUAUAAGACUGGGAUAACUUCGGGAAACCGGAGCUAAUACCGGAUAAUAUUUCGAACCGCAUGGUUCGAUAGUGAAAGAUGGCUUUGCUAUCACUUAUAGAUGGACCUGCGCCGUAUUAGCUAGUUGGUAAGGUAACGGCUUACCAAGGCAACGAUACGUAGCCGACCUGAGAGGGUGAUCGGCCACACUGGAACUGAGACACGGUCCAGACUCCUACGGGAGGCAGCAGUAGGGAAUCUUCCGCAAUGGGCGAACGCCUGACGGAGCAACGCCGCGUGAGUGAUGAAGGUCUUCGGAUCGUAAAACUCUGUUAUUAGGGAAGAACAAACGUGUAAGUAACUGUGCACGUCUUGACGGUACCUAAUCAGAAAGCCACGGCUAACUACGUG
Molecule: ribosomal RNA, 497 nt
Filed under: uncultured bacterium
Lineage: Bacteria
Description: partial 16S ribosomal RNA
Rfam family: Bacterial small subunit ribosomal RNA
Source: RNAcentral